RNAcentral lists this small RNA (2333 nucleotides) under Pongo abelii (Sumatran orangutan). RNAcentral describes it as "processed transcript". Lineage: Eukaryota; Metazoa; Chordata; Mammalia; Primates; Hominidae. The record is from RNAcentral.
AUUCUUCUUGAAGACCAGCCAUGGCCAGUUCCUGUUUUACUUCUGACUGUGUAGUGUUGAAUAAGACAGACCUGUUUCCUCUCAAGAGGCCACAGCUGGUAGGAGAGGCUGAAGUCACAAAGACACGUCCAGCAGGGACCACCUCACCUGCAGAUUAGACCCCCAAGCCAAGACCUGAAGGAUGGGACUCAGCAGGAGGCCACAAAAAGGGAAGAAGCCCCUGUGGAUCCCCGCCCGGAAGGAGAUCUGCAAAGGACAGUCAUCAGCUGGAGGGGAGCGGUGAUCGAGCCUGAGCAGGGCACCAAGCUCCCUUCAAGAAGAGCAGAAGUGCCCACCAAGCCUCCCCUGCCACCGGCCAGGACACAGGGCACACCAGCGCAUCCAAACUAUCGCCAGAAGGGCGUGAUUGACGUCUUCCUGCACGCAUGGAAAGGGUACCGCAAGUUUGCAUGGGGCCAUGACGAGCUGAAGCCUGUGUCCAGGUCCUUCAGCGAGUGGUUUGGCCUUGGUCUCACGCUGAUCGACGCGCUGGACACCAUGUGGAUCUUGGGUCUGAGGAAAGAAUUUGAGGAAGCCAGGAAGUGGGUGUCGAAGAAGUUACACUUUGAAAAGGACGUGGACGUCAACCUGUUUGAGAGCACGAUCCGCAUCCUGGGGGGGCUCCUGAGUGCGUACCACCUGUCUGGGGACAGCCUCUUCCUGAGGAAAGCUGAGGAUUUUGGAAAUCGGCUAAUGCCUGCCUUCAGAACACCGUCCAAGAUUCCUUACUCGGAUGUGAACAUCGGCACUGGAGUUGCCCACCCACCACGGUGGACCUCCGACAGCACUGUGGCCGAGGUGACCAGCAUUCAGCUGGAGUUCCGGGAGCUCUCCCGUCUCACCGGGGAUAAGAAGUUUCAGGAGGCCGUGGAGAAGGUGACGCAGCACAUACAUGGCCUGUCUGGGAAGAAGGAUGGGCUGGUGCCCAUGUUCAUCAAUACCCACAGCGGCCUCUUCACCCACCUGGGCGUGUUCACACUGGGCGCCAGGGCCGACAGCUACUAUGAGUACCUGCUGAAGCAGUGGAUCCAGGGCGGGAAGCAGGAGACACAGCUGCUGGAAGACUACCUGGAAGCCAUCGAGGGUGUCAAAACGCACCUGCUGCGGCACUCCGAGCCCAGUAAGCUCACCUUCGUGGGGGAGCUUGCCCACGGCCGCUUCAGUGCCAAGAUGGACCACCUGGUGUGCUUCCUGCCAGGGACGCUGGCUCUGGGCGUCUACCACGGCCUGCCCGCCAGCCACAUGGAGCUGGCCCAGGAGCUCAUGGAGACUUGUUACCAGAUGAACCGGCAGAUGGAGACGGGGCUGAGUCCCGAGAUCGUGCACUUCAACCUUUACCCCCAGCCGGGCCGUCGGGACGUGGAGGUCAAGCCGGCAGACAGGCACAACCUGCUGCGGCCAGAGACCGUGGAGAGCCUGUUCUACCUGUACCGUGUCACAGGGGACCGCAAGUACCAGGACUGGGGCUGGGAGAUUCUGCAGAGCUUCAGCCGGUUCACGCGGGUCCCCUCGGGUGGCUAUUCUUCCAUCAACAAUGUCCAGGAUCCUCAGAAGCCCGAGCCCAGGGACAAGAUGGAGAGCUUCUUCCUGGGGGAGACGCUCAAGUAUCUGUUCUUGCUCUUCUCUGACGACCGUAACCUACUCAGCCUGGACGCCUACGUGUUCAACACUGAAGCCCACCCUCUGCCUAUCUGGACCCCUGCCUAGGGGGGACGGCUGCUGCUGUGGGGACUUCGGGUGGGCAGAGGCGCCUGGCUGGGUCUGUGGCAUUUUCCAAGGGCCCACGUAGCGCCGGCAACCGCCGAGUGGCCCGGGCUCUGAACUGGCUCUGGGCUCCUCCUUGUCUCUGCUUUAAUCAGGACACCGUGAGGCCAAGUGAGGCCGUCAGUCUGUGUGUGAUGCGGUGUGGGCUGGGCCACUGGAGCCUCCGCCUGCUUCCUCCAGAAAACACGAAUCAUGACUCACGAUCGCUGAAGCCUGAGCAGGUCUCUGUGGGCCGACCGGAGGGGCUUCGAGUGGCCCCUGGCACUGUGGUGACCGAGUGGACAGCCCAGGGUGCAGCUCUGCCCAGGCUCGUGAAGCCUCAGAUGUCCCCAAUCCAAGGGUCUGGAGGGGCUGCCGUGACUCCACAGGCCCGAGGCUCCAGGGCUGGCUCUGGUGUUUACUAGCUGGACUCAGGGAUCCUCCUGGCCACCCCGCAGGGGGCUUGGAGGGCUGGACGGCAAGUCUGUCUGGCUCACGGGCCCCUCCAGUGGAAUGGGUCCUUUCGGUGGAGAUAAAAGUUGAUUUGCUCU